GGGAUUUGUACGACACAGGAAAACGUCAGAGACUAAGCAAAUUUGAAUAGACCUCUGAGUAAAUAUUUCCCUUUUGGAGUUUUCAGGACUUUCUGUCCCGCUGUUUUAUGGGGAAGGCGGGGGAAGACACGCAGACAUCAAUUCGACUAAACAAAGUUUAUCAAUAAUAUUAAAAAUAAAAAGUAAAGCCCCUUUCUGAACAUUAUGGCUUAUUCCUUGAUUAUCCUUCUUAAUGCCACAGCGUGGCUAUCUCAGAACAAAAUUAGAGACUAACAGUAAAUUUACUUUAAUUUUUACGAAUAAUUCUCUAUCAAUGUAAAAAUUUUUCAUAUACGCGUGUAUGAAAGAAAAACACUACUAUUUUUCCACAUUCGUGAAAACUGCUUAACUGGGACAGUAACCGAGCGGCCAGUGAAUAUUUAAAAUACUGUAACCGACGAAUACGUAUGCUUCUAGGACCACGUGGAAUCUUUCCCAUGGUAGACAGGGGCUCACUUUGUCCCCUAGGCUGGAUUGCAGUGGAGCCAUCUCAGCUCACUGCAGCUUGACCUCCCAGGUUUAAGCGAUCCUCAUGCCUCUCCCCACAAUAGCUGAGACUACGGGAACCCACCACCACACCCGACUAAUUUUUGUAUUUUUUGUAGAGACAGGAUUUCACCAUGUUGCCCAGGCUGGUCUCAAAACUUCUGAAUUCAAGCAGUCCGCCCGCCUCUGCCUCACGCCUGUAAUCCCAGCACUUUGGGAGGCCCAGGUGGGAAGAUCACGAGGUCAGGAGCUUGAGACCAGCCUGGCCAACAUGGGGAAACCCCAUCUCUACUAAAAAUACGAAAAUUAGCCAGGCGUGGGGGCAGGUUCCUGUAAUCCCAGCUACUCAGGAGGCUGAGGCAGGAGUAUCGCUUGAAACCGGGAAGUGGAGGUUACAGUGAGCUGAGAUCACAUCGUUGCAGUCCAGCCUGGGUGACAGAGCAAGACUCCGUCUGAACAACAACAACAAAAAAGUUAAGUCUCCAUCCCAAAGUGAAUAUGGGUCAUAUGUUACAUGAGUUUUUGUUCAAUACGCAUGUGUCAGGACCACUUUCAUGAAUAUUCAUAGCUCUUCCUGUAACCUGGUGAAAAUGUAGGUUUAGCCAACCUGUUCAGCCUGAACUACACUCCAAGCCCUCCUCCUUCAAAGCGCCUGUUUCUGGAGGCACGCUUCCCAGCCUGCAGGAUGGCCACCUUGCAGGCCAUAAAGUCUCCCCUUCUUUUCUAAAUUUAUUCAUUGUGGGGCUUUUUAAUAUAUACAUUUUUAAAAGAGAGAGAGAGACAGAGUCUCGCUUUGUUGCCCGGGCUGGUCUCAAACUCCUAGGCUCAAGCUAUCCUUCUGCCUCAGCCUCCCAAAGUGCUGGGAUUACAGGCAUGAGCCACCGCACCCAGCCCAUUGUUGGGCUUUUUUAAGUUAACGCUUGGUAUAUGUUAUAAAUACCUUCUCCCAGGUUGACACUUGUCGUCUUUGUUUACGGUGAUUUGUUCUCUAGAUUUUAAUUUCAAUGUAGUCAAAUUUAUCAAUCUGUUGUUAUGAUAGCUGACUUGUAGCUUUCUUAAGAAAUCCUUCCCUCUCCUGAGGUCACUAAGAUUUUCAUUUUCAUUUUCAUAGUUUUAUAGUUUUGUUUUUCACAUCUUUUUUUUUCUAUUUGGCUAUUAUUGGGGUAUAGCAACACUGUGGAUUUUUGUACAGCAAUCUUGUACCAAAAACCUUGUUGAAUUCUGUUAUUCUAGUAUUUUGUCUGUGCCAGGAACAGUGGUACACACCUGUAAUCCCAGCUUCUUGAGAGGCUGAGGCAGGAGGAUUGCUUGAACCCAGGUGUUCAAGGCUAGCCUGGGCAAUAUAGCAAGAUUCUGUCUCUAAAAAAAAAAAUCAUAUUAUGGUAGAUGGAAACUAGUAUGUGAUAAAAUAAAAAUGACUUUAAAAAAAUUUGUCUAAAGUUCUUUAGGAUUUUUUAUUUAGCAGAACAUUAUGCAAA
RNAcentral lists this long non-coding RNA (2003 nucleotides) under Homo sapiens (human). RNAcentral's name for it is "HSALNT0016551". The record is from RNAcentral. Lineage: Eukaryota; Metazoa; Chordata; Mammalia; Primates; Hominidae.